Molecule: ribosomal RNA, 465 nt
Filed under: uncultured bacterium
Lineage: Bacteria
Description: bacterial SSU rRNA
Rfam family: Bacterial small subunit ribosomal RNA
Source: RNAcentral
CAUAAUACAUGCAAGUCGAACGGGAUAGAACUUAGCAAUUAGGUUCUUGAGAGUGGCGCACGGGUGCGUAACACGUAUGCAACCUACCUUUAACUGGGGGAUAGCCUCUCGAAAGAGAGAUUAAUACCCAUAGUAUAACUGAAGAGCUAUUUUUUGGUUAUUAAAGAUUUAUCGAUGUAAGAUGGGCAUGCGUCCAAUUAGUUAGUUGGCGAGGUAAUGGCUCACCAAGACUUUGAUUGGUAGGGGAACUGAGAGGUCAAUCCCCCACACUGGCACUGAGAUACGGGCCAGACUCCUACGGGAGGCAGCAGUAGGGAAUAUUGGGCAAUGGACGCAAGUCUGACCCAGCCAUGCCGCGUGCAGGAUGAAGGCGUUAUGCGUUGUAAACUGCUUUUAUACAGGAAGAAACGACUCUUGCGAGAGGCAUUGACGGUACUGUAUGAAUAAGCACCGGCUAACUCCGUG